CAAUAGCGUAUAUUAAAGUUGUUGCAGUUAAAAAGCUCGUAGUUGGACUUCUGCGGGUGGCGGCCGGUCGUGCUCGAAACGGGCGUGAACUUGGCGUGCUGCCCGCAUCUUUGGGGAGAUUGUGCGUGGCAUAAAGUUGUCGUGCAUGGGAUUCUCAUCAUUUACUGUGAAAAAAUUAGAGUGUUUAAAGCAGGCCUUUGCCUUGAAUACAUUAGCAUGGAAUAAUAAGAUAGGACCGUUGUCUAUUUUGUUGGUUUACAGAUGUCGGUAAUGAUUAAUAGGGAUAGUUGGGGGUAUUCGUAUUCAGUUGUCAGAGGUGAAAUUCUUGGAUUUUCGGAAGACGCACGACUGCGAAAGCAUUUACCAAGGAUGUUUUCAUUAA
Molecule: ribosomal RNA, 382 nt
Filed under: uncultured eukaryote
Lineage: Eukaryota
Description: partial 18S ribosomal RNA
Rfam family: Eukaryotic small subunit ribosomal RNA
Source: RNAcentral